Pezoporus occidentalis (night parrot) is the source of this 6278-nucleotide long non-coding RNA. RefSeq lists it as uncharacterized. The record is from RefSeq and is a predicted model, not a curated record. NCBI's taxonomy places the organism in Eukaryota, Metazoa, Chordata, Aves, Psittaciformes, Psittacidae. The transcript is spliced from 4 exons.
AAACAAAGUACAGGAACAAUGCACGGUAAAUUUGAGUGAUGAAAGGGGGGAAAAGACAAGAGAGGGAGUCUGAGAAGGGCACGUUAAUGAGGCAUGAACCAAAAGGAGGCAUUUUGCCCUCAUUCCUGGGGCUUACAUGUCUUGUGCCACAGAGUUCAGGUGGAGGCUAGCUGUAUGACUGAUUGUAUUCGGUGUGAAUAGGGGGGGCAGAAGAUGGUACAGAGAAAGAAACACAGAGAAAGAAUCAGGGCAGAGAACAAAGAAGGACUUGGAUUGUAGGUAAAAUAUAGAAAGAAAGGAAAAAAAGUUGCUGAGGGAAGAGUGAACCGUGGAUAUCCUUGGCAAACACACAAAGGUAGUUGACACUUUGGCACAGGAUCAUCGUAAUCCAGAAUACAGUUUUCAUCUAACUAUUUGCUUGGAAGAGCAGUUAUCAUCCCAUCAGAGACCUUAACAACUCCCUGUUCCAUUCUCCCACGCAUCAGCCAUGGUAUCAGCAGGGCUUUUACAUGAAAAUGGUAACAAUGAAGAAAUCGCUCCUGGGCAAGGCAGUCUUCUUUGCAUCUUCUGUCUUCCCCCCCCCCCUUCUGCUUACCACAAUAGUUUUGGUCGAUUUGUUUUGUGGUUUGAAGAGUGGGGGAUUAUUUUGGGAAGAUGGCCCAUCAGUAUUGUGUUGGCCUUGUAUGGGGAAAAGUUCUGUUCUGAGGAAGGACACUGUUGAGGUGUUCCCUAAAAAUGUGCUGAUGGGAUUGCUGUGAUGUUCUCUGGAUAUGCAUUCCAUGGCAAGUCUUCCAUAGGUGAAAAUCCUUUGUUCCCAUUUUUCAUGUGAUUUAUUUGCAUUCUUGUGACUUAUUUUGGUCUGAAGGACUGCAGGUGCCUUGCACGUUCAUAGAUCGAAUGGUGAUUUGGGGCAGAGUGGAAUGAACUUUUGUAGAGUAGGUAUGGGCACUCAGGCAUGGGCAGGAUGGUUCUGUUCCCAAUAACAGUGUUAAAACCUGUUCUCUUUAUGGGUACAGUUCCUGAGCUACCAUUAACAUUCAGGUGAUGAUUUUGUAAUUUUGCGUAGAGAUCCUUUGGUGGAAAAUGCUGGUACUUAUUUAUUAUGCAUAUGAAAAAUAGAGCACAAAAGGAAUAAGGUGCUUAUAGGACCCUGCUGUAGAUCUGCCAGGCUAAUAUUACAGCUGCCUUUGCAGGAAUGCUAUCUUGGUGUAUUAUCUGUCAGCACCACACAAACAAAACAUUAUCACAUGGGUACAAAAGUUUGCUUUGUAAGCAGGUUAAUCAUCAUGAAAUCAUCCAUAUACGAAGUUUUAUGUGUCCUUAAUUCUUUCUUCAAGCGUUCAUACGUGUAUGAAUGUCUAUGUAUCUUUGCCCUUGUGCCAGUCAUUUUGAGCACAAACACUGCUGGUAGCAGCACCAGUUGUAUCUCAAGAGGCCAAUACUGUAAUUAGUGAGAUUUGAGGCCUAAAUACUGAGGCAAAUUUAAGUUUCUAAUAUCAGAAAUGAAGAUCCAGUCUUUGUUCAAAAAGGGGAUGAGGGGUGGCAGUAGUUUAAAGCUUCUCAGUCUGACACUGGAAAGGAAUUCACAAUGUAUUUUUAGAGUGUUAUAAAAAUCUCUUACAUAAUGCUCAUUAAUUCUUAGGUUUUAGGGAAGAGCACUGGGCUUUGUGUAUAAUAGUGUUGACCGGCUAAGCCACUGAAAGGGGCUGGUUUGGGCUGGUUUGUUGUUUUGUUUUUUUUCUUUUAACUUCUUGGAUACAAAAAGCUGCAAAUACUCAAUUAUUACCGGGUUUUGCUUUUGUUUGGGCGUGCAUGAAUAUUUUUCUGGAAACUCUGUCUUAUUUUUGGAAGUCUUUAUCGUUUUAAAACAUAUGUUAUAUCACCCUGUCUGAGAUACAGGAUAGCUACAAACUGGGUGGGGUUUUCUUUUUUUCCCCUCCCUCUUAACUGCAGCUAGUUACGUUAUGGAUUAACAUUCAGGAAUAUCUGCAGUGAAACAUUACUUGUGUAGCUGUGUAAGACUUACUUAAGCAAUUUAACUUAUAUUACAGAAUCAUGACUUUCCUUGUAGUAAUGCAUGCAAUUACUAUAUAGUUCUGCCCGUCCUGUUGAUUUUCAAAAUCAUCAAUUAGGCUUAACUGCCUGGUCCUCACAGCUCUUAACAAAGGGCUAUUCAGGAAAUUAAGUCGGUUAAAUGAUACUCCCUAAUUUAAUUCUAGUUAUAUAUAGUUAUCGUUGUGUAGCUGUAAGGAUUAUUUUUUUUUUUUUUAACACGAUAUCAUGGGAAAGAGAUGCUUUUGUUUGGUCUUUUUCAACAGACACGUGACCAAGGCAGCUUUGAAGCCUUUCUGAAGAGUCCUUGCUUCUGUAGGAUGUUAAAUGUGGAGUUUCCAGCUAUGCACUUCAUUCUACAGACUUAGUCACUCUUAUGCCAUACCAGUAAGUAAGAAUUGCUCAGAUGAGUGCAGUGAGUCCUAAAUUGUUAUUGGAGAAUCUACAUGGGUCACAAGUGCAAAACAAAAGCUUCAUUUAUACUUUCUUUUCCAGUUGGGAGAAAAUGAAAGUAAUUACAGCUCAAUGGCAGGGAGGGAGGAUCCUUAUAGGUCCCUUCUGAUUUGAGAUAUCCUAUGAAUGCUAUGGUUCUGAGGCUCAAAAAAAGGAUUAUUAAUAACCUGUUUGUCACCCAGGUCUCCUGCCAGCAAGGGCUCUCUCUUUCCCUCUGUGGUGCUUUGUUUCUGCAGUUUUCCUGGAAGGAGGCUCUGACACCACAGAGAGCCAGCCCUGCUCUGCAGUGUUUGGUUGCCUGCAUUUGCUAAAGGACACUUGUCCUGUGAGAUGCAAAGCAGCUCACUGAAGGGAGCUGGGGAGACCUUGCAGCAGGGAGCUUCAGGAUAGGGAAGAGGAACUGCUGUUCUCUGAAGCCACCUGGAAGAAUCUGGAAUCUGCUGCAGUUCCUGCAGUAGCAGAGUCUGUCCUUGCUUUCUCACUGCCAUUCUCCCAUGAAACCUAUGUUACAGCCCUAGUUCCCACUUGCACUUUCCUUUUUUUCCAGUGAGAACCACAGUUUCCUUCUGUCUGUGGAGAGGAAGCAAGGAUGCUUUGCAGCCUCUUGUCACCCAUUUAUUUCAUCCACGAAGGAAACAGGGAGAAGCGGAAGAUACUCAGUUUAGAAAUAAUACUUGGUGAUGAAUUCUGCUGUGAUGGAAGUUACAAAAUAAGCCAUGCUAUACCCUAGGGGCAGAUGUAUUUUCAGAAAGUCACCUCCUUAUUUGUGAGAAGCACCUGCCAAUUAAUAUGCUUAAAAAUAUCACUGGAGUUAUGUACUCCAGGAAAGCACCAGGAGCUGGUAAGCGCCUACCCUUUCUGUAGUGUUGCAACUUCAGUAAAACCAAGUACAUUCAAGACUGAUGACUUGAUUCUCUCAUCAGAAAGAUAUGCGAGUAAGAAUUGUUGUCUAUCUUGUAAAAACAGCGCUACACUUGUACAUGCAUGUGUAGAGCUGUUAAAGAUUUUACAAGAUACAUGGGAAUGUGUGCCUGCUUAUCUAAGGAAAGAAGUGAGCUCAACAUUAACAACAAAAAAAUCCACCCUCUCGCUGAGACCUUGCCUGCCAAGUUUUAGCUGUGUGUUCUCUGUUUGCGGCACAUACUCCCACAUCCUGCAGUGAGAGGUGAACACACUCUUUAAUGUAGAGUGAAGAUUUAGGAGCAAAUUCUACUUUCAUUUACAUCAUUAAAAUCCUAAUGAGGCUGUAAAUCAGGGUAAGAAUAUGGCUGAGGUCGAUAGGGUUGGAUGGAUUUAAAUGACUGUAGAAUUUGUCCAUUUUAGGAGGAAAUAUAAACCAGACUAGCCAGAGAAGAGCUCUGAAACAAAUACAAGUGCUGAGAGAAAAAAAUUUCACAUUCUGAACAGGAUCUUUCAGUAAGAACAGUCAAGUGAAUUUCACACCUCAUACAAUUGCAAAGGAAUUACAGCCACAUUGACAACACUUAACUCAGUUUGCUUCCAGGGUAAUGUAUUGCUGGUAAGAAGUAAAAUUUACAAUCGAUAAAACGUAUCUUUGAAAACGAAAUACAGCAGCAUAAGGAAAUAUUAUCUGUAUUUCAGUUCAUACGUAUGAGAAAACAGAUGACAAUCCCCAAUGUAGUAUCUAGUAGCCGUAGACAAAGGAGACAGAAUUGCUUUGUGCAUGGCUCAGUGUAUUGCGCAGGGAUCAAACGUGAAUAUGUGCACAGAUCAAAGGGGGCACAAUGCAAGUCAUAAUCUAUCCAACACUCACCUCAGUUUACACAAAGAUCCCCCUGACCUGGUGCAUACUUAUCUGAAGCACUCCACUUGCCAGCUGUAAGGAGAAAAGCACCAUAAGUUAAAAACAUCAAAGUAUGCUUCUGCGGUGCCCCACAUUACAGAGCCUACUGUGGAAACGGCACAGGCCUCCUCGUGGAGCCUGUUCAGCUUACGGAGAAGGAGCAUGCACUCUCCAGCAGGAGAGGAGGAAGGAGCCCCGAGGAAAAAAAAAGGCAGGAAUGUUAUAUAUUAAAAACCUAAGUGAGGUAACCUGCAGAAACUGCUCAGGUAGCUUCUUUCACUCAAUCUGCUCAUCUAUCAAAAUUCCUUUAAGAUCUUGUAGAAGUGACACACAAUUGUACUUCUUGCACAAACAGCAGCAAAAAGGUCUGAGGAUGAGUAACACACAUGAAACAGCACUUUCACAAGCAGUGCAAUUACACUCUGGUCUUGUCCUUCACAGAUUACGCCUCUUUGCAACUGCAAGAAGCAGUAGGAACCCUGCGUAUCCUUGGGAAUUAAUUUUUAUAUUUGGAAGGUCUAAACCAUCACAGUUUCAGUUUUCAGCUGAAAAUGGGGAAAGAAUUCCUAAGGUUCAGCUGUUUAAAAAACCUUCAAUAAAACUGUCAAGAAGAAAAAGUUUUACUUGUUCCCACAGGAUUCAUUUCCCAAAUAAACGCAACAUGGCAUUUGAAUGUGUUUAUAUUGUGACUUCAUGAGUUUUUGUUAUAUAGUUGAAAUAUAAUAGUAUUCAAUAACAGCUGAUGGCAGAGUUCUUUUUAAAAUGGAUAAUACUGACAGCAGUCAGACAUAUUACAUGCUUAAUUUGAAUAAGUUUAUGAUUCACUUGCAUUACAGAAAUUGUAUUUUGCUGUCAUUAUAAAAAUUACAUUAUUGAAGUACUGUAUGAUUUUAAUACCAAAUUAUCGUUUCACAGGAAGAAAAAAAAAUAAAUCUGUGUGGUCAAUUAUACUGUAUUAAAAUCCGAAACACCAUUUUCGUAUUGAAUUGCAAACACUUCUUUGUGCGUUGUUUCUUCUCUGCAGCUUUACCAUUUCAUCAGAUACAACCUCAUGGUUGAGUUUUACAGAACAGGUCUGAAUUGGAAAAAAUAGAUUAUUAAUACUGGGAUCUGUUAUGCUAAAUAUAUGUGUUAAUAAUCUGUGUUCUAUUAUGCUUAUCUUCUGUGGGUUUUGGCUAGUUUUCAAGGUCCCAAAUAUCAAUGAGUUUUUUAGUAAGCAUGGAGUAGGUUACUAUAUUAGGGAUAGAAUGGCUAAAUGGGUGAGACCAAGGAAAUGCACUGAAAGCUGUUGUCUGUGGAGUUGUAAAUAGUUCCCAGCAGACAUGUUGCUGCUUACUCUGCUAAGGCUCAAUGAAGCAAAAAGCACUGGGCCAAGAGAAGCAGAUUGUUUUAUUUGCUUGAAUUCAUGGGUGGCCCUUACUGCUCUAGGUCAGUUAUUAAUGAGGAAAAGAAGGUUAAUGGAAAUAGGAGGUGCUGACAGUCAAACAUUUAUCUUUCUGUGGAACCCAUGUAAUACCAGAUAAAAAUAGUACUCAUAUGCUGAUUACAAAGUGAGAUGCUUUUCAAACAUGUCUGAAUUUAACCAGACUUUUUUAGUAUAUGAUACAAAGAGAGUGUAUCUACAAUAAAUAAUAGCAAUACACACAAUGCAUUAAUGUGACUGCCUAAUUUCUCUAGCUAUAAUUAAACUCUAGAGAUGGCUCAACAUCCAGCCUGAUGCUGUUUCUGAAAAAGCUACUGUUGCUCUUCUCAUACAGGAUAUCCAAGCUUGAGGGGUGAAUUUCUUCCCCAUUCCAUUCCUUGCUUGUUCUGUAAGCAAGCCAAGGCAGUGCCUGGACUCCGGUGAAAAGCAUUCUUCUUUAUCUGCCAAUUUCUUUUGUCUGCUUUAUUGAAAAAGCGGCACCACCAGAAUGCAGGCAAAGAAGGAUCACGUUAAAUAGCAGGAGAUGGGGUGGCACUACAGGGCUGG